RNAcentral lists this unclassified non-coding RNA (329 nucleotides) under soil metagenome. RNAcentral describes it as "partial contains 5.8S ribosomal RNA, internal transcribed spacer 2, and large subunit ribosomal RNA". The stretch from base 1 to 120 matches the Rfam family "5.8S ribosomal RNA", at positions 35 to 154 of the family's 154-position model. The record is from RNAcentral.
GAUGAAGAACGCAGCGAAAUGCGAUAAGUAAUGUGAAUUGCAGAGUUCAGUGAAUCAUCGAAUCUUUGAACGCACAUUGCGCCCGUUAGUAUUCUGACGGGCAUGCCUGUCCGAGCGUCAUUACAACCCUCAAGCUCAGCUUGGUGUUGGGCCCCGCCGCCCCGGCGGGCCCUAAAGUCAGUGGCGGUGCCGUCCGGCUCCGAGCGUAGUAAUUCUUCUCGCUCUGGAGGUCCGGUCGUGUGCUCGCCAGCAACCCCCAAUUUUUUUCAGGUUGACCUCGGAUCAGGUAGGGAUACCCGCUGAACUUAAGCAUAUCAAUAAGCGGAGGA